UCUCCAUAGGAUGCACCCUGACACGUGUCCUGGUGUGUCCCAUGGCACGUAAAAAAUGGUGGCCAUGUGGCCUGGUGACCACACUGCUAACUUCAUCAUCUGCAGAAGGGGGAAACACAACACUGAGCAAGUCUCAUCAAGAAAAGGUGGUGUCUGCUUCUCAGCUUCAGGAAAGGGUGAGGUAGUCCCCACUGGGAACUGUACAGUGCUCCAGAGAGAAAAGGCUGUGCUCAGGGGGAGGGCUGGUGGUGUAGCUCUGCUUACAGUAAUCAUAACCCCAUGAGCUUUAAAAUUCUUUAAAUGCUGCCUUCUAGCUCCCUCACUGUGCCCAAGGCCAGAGAUGAGUGAUGGUUCACCCUGUUCUCUUAUUUUAUGCCUCAUGUGCCAUGUCCUUAUCCCUCUCCCUUCUGAAUGGCAUUAAGAGCAGUAAAGAAGUGGUGACUCAAGGAGGUCUGGGAAAGAAACUCGAAGUCGUGAGUCUGGUGGAGCCCUGAGCGUUUCCAAACGCCCUGCUCUGAGUUCAUCCCACCAGUCGGUCUGUGCAGCGUGAGAACUGGUACGUAAACACAAUUCACAGGCACAUGGGACAAGAAGGAUGUCAGGCUUUUCUGACAGUGGCACCUUGUUCAUGGCUCUCAAAGUUUGGAGGGAGAGUGGGAUCACUGGAAGAUACAAGGCAAGCUGAUGGUUCCCUGGUGGUGCUUACAGCCAGAGGCUUUGGUGGAGAAGGGUACAGCAGUGAGAGCUGUGAGUGUCCAGGAGUCAUCCCAGGCUAUGGUGCUGAGGCUUUAGACACGCUCUGUGGAGCGAUGUGUGGUGUCACAGCACGCACGGAGGGGCGACGUGGGGGUAAUGACAAAUGCAUACACACACACACAGACACAGGCUGUGCAAGUGUAGGCACAUGGAAACAAAGAUGGCAAUGCAUAUAUAGUAUAUACUAUACAGUGGCAUAUGAGAGCUUGGGGGUGUAUAUACCAAAUGUCUGUAUAUACUAUAUAUGGCGAUUAAAGAAUGCAUAUGCAUUCAUGUUCUCUUUUUUUUUUUCUUCCUGUCUCUUCUGUCUUUCUGUGGAGCUGUUGCAAAACUACCAGAUUCAACCUCCUGGGGAGCCUUUCUGGCCAAGGAUGUGCUGUUUGUUGGAAGACGAGGAUGAGCAGUGCCCGGGUGCCGUAGCGCAGUGCUCCGGGCAGGGCUAGUCUGGCACGUCUGGGAAAGCGCUUUGUGACUCUCAGUGUUCACGUGCUGAUCCUUCUCUGUGCAACAUCUCACCCCUGCAAGGACGUGAUUGAGAGCUGGACAGACUGUGAAGGAUGAGCUCCCCAUGUGCUGCCUGUGCCCCCUUUCCUGGUGGGUGCUGGGCAGAGCUGGGGGAGCUCUGGAGGAUGAGCCGAUGCCCACGGCUGGGACUGCAGGCUGCCAGGGCUCUCCAUCUGGUGUUUCUCCAGGACCUGAGCAGAUUCAAUGAUCACUGACGCUUUCCAGGAUCCACAAAGGAUUUUCUUGUGCUCCAGGAACAGAGCCAUUAAAGGCUGACCUGUAAAUUAAUACAGCUGUCUAAAGAUUUUUUUUUCCUCCUGUAGCCUGGCACCUAGUAAACACUGUCUGAGAAGCCUUCCAUGGCACUGGCCCUCAAGAGUGUUCAGAGAGCUCCAUGCCUGCUUUUCUUAAGCUUCUCUCAAUCUCUUUUAAUGAUGUGUUAAACGCAAAGGACUUGCUUUAGCUCCCAUGUAGGGAGCUUUGGUUCACAGCCCAUCCUUCAUCCUGGCUGUUGCCCUGAUCAAUCCAGGGCUGGCACUGCACAGUUGGCAAAGGGGUUACACCAGCACUGUGAUUUGAGUUCUCUGAGGGAGCUCAGUGUGCACUAAGGGCUGGGUGUAUGUGCCCCACAGCAGGUAAGAGAAGCUGCCCCAGAGCACAUGUGGGCAUGGAGGGGUGAAGGUUACAAACCUCUGCACAUCUUAUACUUUGCAUUUCUUUAGGCAAAGGUUUUGGAUCUAAGUACUAAAUUGUGACUGAAGGCUGAGGAAAGGCUGGUGUUAUUGUGGUGUGCAGGCAUAGAAAUUAGGGCACUGUGUGGCAGAUUCAGGAAAAGUGCAAAUCUCUGUAUUUUGUGUGAUGGUUCAUGCUCAGCUCCUGCAGACAGGUGGGUGCUUUAUGGCCCUGGGCAGAGUGAUGCUGUUAAACCCAUCUCUCUUACUCUAAUAAAGUCAUACUUGUCUGAGCA
Molecule: long non-coding RNA, 2227 nt
Filed under: Cyanistes caeruleus (blue tit)
Lineage: Eukaryota; Metazoa; Chordata; Aves; Passeriformes; Paridae
Description: lncRNA (ENSCCEG00000014431.1)
Source: RNAcentral